RNAcentral lists this ribosomal RNA (337 nucleotides) under Stenomantis novaeguineae. RNAcentral's name for it is "partial 16S ribosomal RNA". The record is from RNAcentral. Lineage: Eukaryota; Metazoa; Arthropoda; Insecta; Mantodea; Liturgusidae.
UUUGACUGUGCAAAGGUAGCAUAAUCAUUAGUCUUUUAAUUAAAGGCUGGAAUGAAUGGUUGGACGAGGUAAAUUACUAUCUUAUAAGUAAUUUUUAUUGAAUUUAGGAGUUGAGUGAAAACACUCAAAUUUUAUUAAGGGACGAGAAGACCCUAUAGAGUUUAAUAUGUUAAGUGUUGAUUGAGUUAUAAAUUUAAUUUUUGGUUAAUAUGAUAUAUAUUUAGUUGGGGUGACUGAAAGAUAAGAAGAACUCUUUUUGUUUAUGAAUAAUAUAAUUAGAUAGGGGAUCCAUAUAUAAUGAUUAUAAGAUUAAAUUACCUUAGGGAUAACAGCAUAA